UUUUUUUUUUAAAAACCAAAAAUAAUUGACAUUUGCAAAAAUAUUAAUAUUUAUAAGUUAUAUUCUUAUAAAUUGGUUCUUAUAAAUGAAAAUUCACAUUAAAUAUCUGCAUUAAUGCAUCAAAUUUUGCUAACCUGAUGGAAAAUCUGGACCUUUGUUUCUCUGUUUUUUACAAUCCAAGAUGGACACCCAUACCACCUUAAAUAAAAAAAAUGAUCCUGGAGAAAUAGACCUUUCUUUUUUUACAGCUGUUUUUUUA
RNAcentral lists this long non-coding RNA (259 nucleotides) under Mytilus galloprovincialis (Mediterranean mussel). The record is from RNAcentral. Lineage: Eukaryota; Metazoa; Mollusca; Bivalvia; Mytilida; Mytilidae.